RNAcentral lists this ribosomal RNA (433 nucleotides) under uncultured bacterium. RNAcentral's name for it is "partial 16S ribosomal RNA". The stretch from base 45 to 433 matches the Rfam family "Bacterial small subunit ribosomal RNA", at positions 39 to 507 of the family's 1533-position model. The record is from RNAcentral.
GGGGGGGGGGGGGGGGGGGGCGGAGGGAGGGGGGGGGGGGGAGGGCGGCGGGGGGGGUGGCGGGCGGGGGCGGAAGGCGGGGGAGCCGGCGCUUGGUGUGGGAAUAACGCCGCGAAAGGGGUGCUAAGGCGGGAGAAUGUCGUGGGACCAAAGAGUUAUCGCCGUUGGAUGGGCCCGGGUGGUGUUAGCUAGUUGGUAGGGUAAAAUCAUACCAAGGCGACGAUGCAUAGCUGGUCUGAGAGGAUGAUCAGCCACACUGGGACUGAGACACGGCCCAGACUCCUACGGGAGGCAGCAGUGGGGAAUAUUGGACAAUGGGCGAAAGCCUGAUCCAGCAAUGCCGCGUGAGUGAUGAAGGCCUUAGUGUUGUCAAGCUCUUUUACCCGGGAUGAUAAUGACAGUACCGGGAGAAUAAGCUCCGGCUAACUCCGUG